This 327-nucleotide ribosomal RNA is filed under the name uncultured eukaryote. Its description in RNAcentral is "partial 18S ribosomal RNA". It matches the Rfam family "Eukaryotic small subunit ribosomal RNA", at positions 1470 to 1796 of the family's 1831-position model. The record is from RNAcentral.
CCCUUAGAUGUUCUGGGCCGCACGCGCGCUACACUGACGAAUGCAACGAGCUUAUAACCUUGGCCGAAAGGUCUGGGUAAUCUCCAAAUUUCGUCGUGAUGGGGAUAGAUUAUUGCAAUUAUUAAUCUUCAACGAGGAAUGCCUAGUAAGCGCAAGUCAUCAGCUUGCGUUGAUUACGUCCCUGCCCUUUGUACACACCGCCCGUCGCUCCUACCGAUUGAAUGGUCCGGUGAAGCGUUCGGACCGUGGCCUUUGGACGGUUCGCCGUCUGUUGGCUGCGGGAAGACUCCCAAACUUGAGCGUUUAGAGGAAGUAAAANUCGUANCA